RNAcentral lists this ribosomal RNA (420 nucleotides) under Siphonaria sp. LINE-2015b. Its description in RNAcentral is "partial 16S ribosomal RNA". It matches the Rfam family "Bacterial large subunit ribosomal RNA", at positions 1872 to 2588 of the family's 2925-position model. The record is from RNAcentral. Lineage: Eukaryota; Metazoa; Mollusca; Gastropoda; Siphonariida; Siphonariidae.
AUAGUCUAAGGCUUCCUCUUAGAUCUAGUCUGCCCACUGAAUAUUUAAAUGGCCGCAGAACUUUAACUGUGCAAAGGUAGCGUGAUCACUUGUCUUUUAAAUGGAGACUGUAUGAAUGGCCACACGUGGUUUAGCUGUCUCCUUGGGAUUAUAUUGAAUUUUUCUGGUAGGUGAAAAAGCCUACGGUUGGAAAAAAGACGAGAAGACCCUAAGAGCUUUAAUGAAAAAGAGCUAUGCCUUUUAAAUUUUUGUUGGGGCAACAGGAGAACAGGAAACUUCUCUCCCGAACCUGCUAUCAUUGAUAGAGGGAAUAAGCUACCUUAGGGAUAACAGCAUAAUUUUUUUAAAAGUUUGUGACCUCGAUGUUGGACUAGGUAAAAAAAAAUCCCAGAAGGAUUUUUUCAGGCUCUGUUCGAGCAU